This 492-nucleotide ribosomal RNA is filed under the name uncultured bacterium. Its description in RNAcentral is "partial 16S ribosomal RNA". It matches the Rfam family "Bacterial small subunit ribosomal RNA", at positions 29 to 507 of the family's 1533-position model. The record is from RNAcentral.
AGUGAACGCUGGCGGUAGGCCUAACACAUGCAAGUCGAACGGCAGCACAGUAAGAGCUUGCUCUUACGGGUGGCGAGUGGCGGACGGGUGAGGAAUACAUCGGAAUCUACUUUUUCGUGGGGGAUAACGUAGGGAAACUUACGCUAAUACCGCAUACGACCUACGGGUGAAAGCAGGGGAUCUUCGGACCUUGCGCGAUUGAAUGCGCCGAUGUCGGAUUAGCUAGUUGGCGGGGUAAAGGCCCACCGAGGCGACGAUCCGUAGCUGGUCUGAGAGGAUGAGCAGCCACACUGGAACUGAGACACGGUCCAGACUCCUACGGGAGGCAGCAGUGGGGAAUAUUGGACAAUGGGCGAAAGCCUGAUCCAGCCAUACCGCGUGGGUGAAGAAGGCCUUCGGGUUGUAAAGCCCUUUUGUUGGGAAAGAAAAGCAGCAGGUUAAUACCCCGCUGUUCUGACGGUACCCAAAGAAUAAGCACCGGCUAACUUCGUG